GUGUAGAAAAAAACGAGGCGAAUAUGAGGAGGACUCGGGGGACGUAAGAAGAACAGAUGAUCAUAAGCGAAGAGCUAAAUAGUGCUAGAGACGAUGAGUCGCAGACGAGCGUCGAACUAAAAACCGUGUAUACGUAUGGCGGUGGUGGUCACUGCGCCACCAUUGCUGCGUCUCUAUGGUUUAUCUCUCACACUCGUGUGCCGCUUCUUUUUUAGAACG
Molecule: non-coding RNA, 219 nt
Organism: Caenorhabditis elegans
Lineage: Eukaryota; Metazoa; Nematoda; Chromadorea; Rhabditida; Rhabditidae
Source: Ensembl